CAAACUCUGGGACUCAAGCGAUCCACUCACCUCGGCCGCCCAGAGUGCUGGAAUUACAGACAUGAUCCACCGUGCCCAAUCCCACAAAGGAUGACUUCAGAAGUGCAAUUCUGAUAUGGACUUUGUCUCCCUAAGGCUUUCAGUUCCUCAUAUUUAGGAUAAAACAGAAGUUUAUGUAAAGCCAAGGGAGAGGGUCACCGGGAGAGGGAAGGAGGAACAGCAGAAGGAGAGGUCCACACAUGAAAAUACUUGGAAGCGCCCCAGGGCCUAUCAGAUGCAGGUCUUGGCGGAAAUUACCAAACAUACUUUAGACAGGCUGCUGUGUUGCUGAGUGUGGACUGGCCUCAGGGCCUGCUGAUCAAAGCAAAAGGAAGCAGUGAAAAAAACAUCACCAUGUCUUCUUAGAGUCUAAUCUGGGGGCAAGAGGCCAGCAUGCACAGUUGGUGCUGAUUUUCUUGGGCGGAUAGAGGAAAGGUGUAGGCGUGGCCAACAUUUGAGCAGCAUGUGGUUCCUCUCACACGCCAUGCUGUUUCCGGCCUCCUUGCAUUUUACUCAUGCCAUCCUCCUGGUCACUUCUUUGAGAUAUUAAGUGCAUUCUUUAGGACUCAGACUCAGCUCAAGGGUCAGUGCAUCCAUGAAGCCUUACCUGGAUCCCAGAGGGAGCUCUGUGCUCCUCCUUUGUCUCCUAUAGGACCCAGUACAUGCGUCCAGUAUUAUCCAUACACACUGAAAUGAUCUAGCAUGUGUCUUCCCAUAGGAUUUCAAAUUCUUAGAAUAUAGGAGUGAUGCCUUCUUCCUACUUAUAUUUCCAGUGUUAACAGUGCCUGUCAAUUGACUUGAAGAUAACUAAAAGUCUGGUUGUUAAGGGCUGCUUCCCACCUCCAAAUACUUCCCUGGAAGUCAUUGUAUGGGCACUGACAUUGGUAGGUCUCCACUGGCUUGUAGAUGCUUCUGAUUAUAAGGUAGUCUCAGAUGCCUUCAGAAAGUUCUAAGACUGUAUAAAACAUUUCCUUCACAACCAAUAACUGUGUAUUAUUGUUCGUGUAAUUCCAGAAGUUAUCCUUUUGAUAGAGAGCAAUUACUUUAUUGAUUGAGAGUUAGCUAAUUAUGUAAUAAAGGUAAAGAUUUGCAUAGAGAAGUGUAAGAGACAUGGAGAAGAUUCUUGGUGGGUGGUGAGGGCGGGUACAUUUACACCAGACCAAGACUGAUCUGGCUGUGGCGCUGGAGAUUAAACUGUUUAAAUAUGGGAUCCUAAGAAGACUUCUGUGCAUUCUAGACUUCAAGAGACAGAUUGCAUUUUUUUUUAGGAAAUGUAGAUAAAACCCUUUGACUGAAUGACUCUAGAAAAUAAUACUGAUUUGAGAGAGAAAGGAAAUUCUAAAACAAAAUCCUGACAGCAGAGGCAUGAAUGAUCCUCAUGAGGAAGAAAUGAGACUCUGCUUAACUACACUGUAGAUUUUGGUGUGGAAGAAGAUGGAAGGUGGGUAUAUAGCCAAAUUUUGAAUACAAUAGGGCAGCACAAAACUGUGACAACAGUGGCAGAAGGACUGAAGUACAGAAUGUGUGAAAGUUGUUGUGAAAUAAAUAGAGAGCAACAGAAAAGGACUAUUUGGGCUGGGCAAUGGUAAUCCCAGAACUUUGGGAGGCUGAGUCAGGUGGAUCACCUGAGGUCAGGAGCUCAAGACCAGCCUGACCAACAUGGUGAAAUCCCAUCUCUACUAAAAAUACAAAAAAUUAGCUGGGCCUGGUAGCGGGUGCCUGUAAUCCGAGCUACUAGGGAGGCUGAGUCAGGAGGAUCACUUAAACCCAGGAGGCGGAGGUUUCAGUGAGCCGAGAUUGCACCAUUGCGCUCCAGCCUGGGCGACAAGAGCAAAAUUCCAUCUCAAACAAAACAAAACAAAACAAAAAGAAAGAAAAAAGAAAAAAAGGACGAUUUGAACCAGGCUUAGAGUAAGAAGGAUGAAGUGACAAGACCAGAGUUUGGGCAGAUGGUGAGACAUUAACAGAUAAUAGAGACAAAGCAGUAUUUUCUACCUCUUAUUCUGUGUCUUUCUCUGGCGAGGAAAAGGAUUUUUCCUUUAGAAAUGGUAGAGAUAACGUGGUUAACAAGAAGUUGACAUCUUAGUUGAGGGAGAUCACAUAAGAGAUAUCAUAAGCUUAUUUAAAUGGCUGCAAAGAUGAUAAAGGUUAUUACUGGGUUUGCUUAUAUGACUAAGGAUAAGCUGCCGGAAAUACUUGGAGAGAAAGAUGGUACAUAGAAGAAAGGAAGAGAAUUUGUCUCAAUUUUCCAAGAAGGAGCAAAUUUGGGAUCCAGAAUACACCUAAAUUACUGUUCAUUCUGUUUUCUCAGACCGCCUCCACUUGCCUAGCCUACUCUUUCUCUUUUUGGGCUAUUUUGUCCAAUCUUUCCCCAUCACUGGACAGGGAGUGGGUACAAAAUGAGCCAGGUGGAUUGUGGCUGGGUUUCAUAGGGCUAAACUACAAAGGGGAAUUUCUAUCCAAGACAACUCAGUACACUAGGUCCUGAAAAGGCAGUUGAGAUAAAUCAUUUGGAGAAGCUGAUAUUAAAGAAACAAGGUGUAAGGAUCAAAAGGAACCAAAGGAAGAAAUGGAGUUACAGGUUUAAAAAGCUGAAAUGCGGGUGGUAGGUUGACAUCAGGUUAGAAUGAGGUCUGAAGUUGGCACAAAAAAUGAACUUCAGAAUGACUACAAAGCAAAAUAAAAACAAAAUAUUAAUGGACAAUACCAGUUUGGUCUUUAUGUAAUUGGGUAUGUGGUGCAUAGGUGGCUCAGGCUAAGGGUUAAGAAAGACAUAGAAUUCAGUUUGAUGGAUUCUUAGCUGGUUAGACAGUCACCUUCUAUGUAAGGAUGAAUUAAUUAGUUAAGAAAUAGAUGUCAGCAUAGGCAACGUUUUUAGUUGAGUGUCUGGACCUGUCAUGUUAAAUAUUCUUUAUCACUGACUUAAAUAGAAGCAUGAAAGGCAAAUAUAUUAGACCUGCAGGUGAAAAAAAUAUAAGAGGAACAGUUAAAAUGUUGGAUGGCAGACUUGAAGAAAGGAUUCCAUUUUCUCUACUUUGCCCCUGAGAGGUUAAAACUAGCAUCAACGGAGGAGCAUUUUUAGAGAGGCAGAUUUAGGCUUACCAUAAAAUGGAACUUUCUUGCAAUUAAUGGUGUACAAAGAUGAGAUUAACUUUUUAAUUUAAUUUAAUUUAACUUUAUUUGAGAUUGAGUCUUGCUCUGUGGCUAGGCUGGAGUGUAGUGGCGUGAUCUCGGCUCACUGCUUCCACCUCCCAGGUUCAAGUGAUUCUCCUGCCUCAGCCUCCCAACUAGCUGGGACUACAGGCGUGCGCCACCAUGCCCAGCUAAUUUUUGUAUUUUUAGUACAGAUGGGGUUUCACCACGUUGGCCAGGAUGGUCUCGAUCUCUUGACCUUAUGAUCCACCUGUCUUGGCCUCCAAAAGUGCUGGAAUUACAGGCGUGGGCCACCAUGCCCAGCUGAGAUUAACUUUAAUUCAACCAAUAUGUAUUGAGCUCCAUACAUGAUACUCUGCUAGAUAUAAUGACAAAUAAGAGAAUUAUUUGGCUGUAAGAGAAUUUAUGGCUAACUUCAGUAAUAAUCUGUAAAGUGCUUAUUUCUAAUAUCCUGAUUAAGGAAAGUUGCUGGAAGUGUUCAAGCCCAGACUAGGAACUGUAUCUCCUUGUAAAGGAGAUUCCUGCAAAUGGUUGAAACGUUGUGCUCAGCCAGUUGGUUUCAAACUUGACUGUGAACCACGAUAAGAAAUACAUUUACAACAAAAUCCAGUACAACCUAUAAUAAAGUUUCAUCAAACAAUGUUGCCUUUAUACCUUUGCUGUUUUCUAUUCUAGCAUUGUCUAGUCUAUUCCGUUAGAAAUAUCCUAAUAAAAGCCACUAAAUUGACUUAGUAAUGGGUUGCUACCCCAGUUGGAAGAACAUUUUGAAGUAGGAGGUGGAACUUGGCUCCAGAGGUAAGGAUUCGAACUUCAGGUGAGAUUGAGUACUAGCUGAAAUAGGGAAGAGGCCAAAGAGCCUCUCCAUAAGACACACCCACCAAUGCCAUGUCAGUUUAUCAUUGUCAUGGCAACACUCAGAUGUUAACACUCAUUUCCAUAGCAACGACCUGCCGACCCAGAAGUUACCACUCUUUGUUAGAAAUGUCUGCAUAAUCUGCCCCUUAAUUUGCAUGUAAUUACAGUGAGUAUAUAUAUUAUUGUAGACCCGCCCCUGAGCUGUUACUCUCUAACAGGCUGCCUUUGGGGUAACCCUGCUCUGCAGGAGCAGUCAUGGAGCUGUAACAUUGCCACCUCAAUAAAGCUGUUUUCUUCUACCA
RNAcentral lists this long non-coding RNA (4349 nucleotides) under Homo sapiens (human). Its description in RNAcentral is "HSALNT0151186". Lineage: Eukaryota; Metazoa; Chordata; Mammalia; Primates; Hominidae. The record is from RNAcentral.